This is a long non-coding RNA of Apodemus sylvaticus (European woodmouse), 3146 nucleotides long. RefSeq lists it as uncharacterized. Lineage: Eukaryota; Metazoa; Chordata; Mammalia; Rodentia; Muridae. The record is from RefSeq and is a predicted model, not a curated record. The transcript is spliced from 4 exons.
GUCAGCAGAUUUGGCUGAGCAGAUAUCACUUCCUGAAGUAGGCAGAGACCAUGCGGACACUGGGUCCUCACAGGGAGUUCCUGCAGACGCUCAGGUGGCCCUGGCCUCCCCAGGGAAUACAGUUUUUCAGAGCCCAGGAGACUUUUAAGGGUGGUGAAAACAGAAACGAAAACUCGGUGUCAUGUGAUCGGAACUCAGCUAAGGUUACAUAAUUGGGAGACUCACUGGAAAGCUGACGAUAUCCUUGGGACUAACAGAUCAUCUCCCAGCAUGGGAAAAUGAGGAACCUGAGAAAACAAAGGUUUCUGCUGCUUUAACAGCCAAAUCACUCAAGACUCUUGGAGCAAGACAUAGAACAAUCUACUUAAAGCUAUAAGAUCCAGGACAGCUAAAUGGCUUUAGAUUUCAGUGAGUAUCAUCCUGAGAGACCUUGCAUGUGACAGGAAUAAGUUGAAUUUGCAUUUGAAAAUAGAGCAGAGCAAAGCAACACUCCCUUUCAAGGGAAAUGAGUAGCAAAAUAGAAAAGAAAGAGAAAGACUUUAUGCGUAUUCCCUGGGAAAAACACAGGUGGCUUAAGGAGCCCACAGAGACACGCCCUUCUUCACAGCCUGAUACAUCUUAAGACAGAACAGGCCUCUUAUGUCUCAGAAUCCAUGCAGUAUACUAACUUGCUUCUUUAAUCUCCCUCAGAGUGGCCUUCUGUGGGAUUCCCUCAGCACAUUUUAGCAGUACACCUGUCUCAUGUCAACAUUCAUCUAUACAUAGUAUAAGUUUAAAAGUAAAUAGCAAAAAGCUACCAGGAAAAAAAAAAAAUAACCAAAGCCACAUGGAAAGGAUCCAAUGCCCAGCAAGCAAAUAGCAGAGAGGCUGGGGGAGGGAGGGGAUUGAAGGAUCGAUGAUUCAAAAGAAAAAGCACAAAUCAGAAUUUUAAAAAGAAGAAUGCAAUGAGUUCUCUGCAAUGCGGGAGCCAUGUCUCUACCCUGGAGGUGAGGGCCUGUUAAUGGCUGACUGGGUUCCUAUGUUAGUUAAUAGGCAAGGAGAAAGAAGAGCAUGUCCUAAGAUCUCUGUCAUAUUGAGAAACAUCCCAAUGAUGGCUACUGCAUCGAUUUCCUUAGAAGCUUUGCCUUGCAGCUGCCUCUGGACCACACUUAGAGCAAAGCCCACCUGUAUCAGGAGGAACUAAUACAUUAACUGUUUACCCCACCACUCGCUCGGAAAAUGCACAGGUGUAUAAAACAUCGAUAAAGAUAGAACUGGGGUUUAAUGGUACUUUCAAGACUUUCUCAGAUGGAAACGUUUGAAAUAUUAAGGAAAUCCUACUUUCUUUAAAGGCUGUAGUUGAAUCUAGACUGUGGGCUUGUACCCUGACUUUUGUAUUUUACUUGUUUGCCCGCUGUCUUGAGCGACACUUCAUAGCAAGAGACAGCAGCAAGAGCCUGAAAGAAAAGGAGCAUGCCAGGGGCUCAGGAGACCCUGCACCCCUAAACGGACUGGGGGCGGGGAGCCACAAACCAAGCAACACAUCUGCUUGGAGAAUCACAAAGCCGGGGUCACUGCCACUAAACCAGUAGAGCACUGCGAUGAACGCAGCCGCCGAUAUGGCUAUUCUACCUUGACUUUUGAAUGUCAAAAAUAAUAUGGACAGAAUUGACUAAGCAGUCUCCAAGGUACUGCCUUUAAAAUUUUUAACUUUAUGGCCAUUAAAUAUUGAACAGAUAAUUGGAUUUAUCCCCUUCAGUGCUUUAUGGAUGUACAAAGUACCUACCUUCUCCUGUUUUAUUCAAAUUAAUGGCAUUCUUUUAAAGUGCCUACCUGAGUGCAUACUACAGCCAGCUCAGGACAAGAAGGUUUCACCCUCUGCUUACCAACUCUUUCCUCUAUUUCCCAUGAGAGGGCAAAAACCACACUGGAGCCCACACUAGCAGAUAAGGGGCAAAUUCAUUCAGAGUCACCCUUAAACCUGAAAUCACUCCCCUCCCUGCCUCAAACUCCAGUUCCCAGUGUGAUCUGGCCAUCAAUUAGCUUAUUCGAGAAAACCACAAUUAGACUGCAUUUAGAAUGGUGUUAACUACACGAUUUAGAAAUGCCCUCCACCACUGGGCAGCUCACUGCUGCAUCUUCAAAUUGAGCCCAGAGAACACAAGCGUUCCAGUGCACCUCCAGAAGAUUAGCCAAAUGCAAGCUGGGACUGUGGGUUGGACAGGGAGAAAAACCCCCAGCUACGGAAAGGCUGUGCAAUCCACCGCGGUGAUAAGGUAUUUCCGUCAAGUGUGACUAACACCUACGAACGUACAAUCUGAGAAUAACUCUGGUGGAGGCGCUAGAGGAAAGGGGUUAAUGGAAAUAAUGUUUUCAUUUGGAACAAUAUAAAUCCACAACUGGCAUUCCAUUGGCCCAUGACCUCCCCUUCCCCAAUCCCUGUUCAAGUCAUUUGCUAGUGUAAUUGAAACCUUCUUUGAGAGUCUUUAGAUUUCAUUUCAUGUUUUGUGGACAACGCAGCUAAAAGACAUUUACCAUCCAUCUUUCUUAACAUUCCUAAUCUAAAUAGAAGACCCAAAUCCAAGGCUGUGCCUUGAUGGAUAGCUCACCUCCCUGCACUGUAGAGCUUAAAAAGGUCCUAUCACUGUGCUCAGAGCCCUCACAAAAAACACACAUUCAUACUCAUUUCCCGUUCUCCCACAUAACUGAGAAGCAUAUAUUCAUUUCUUUAAAUGUGCUUUGAAAGAAAAGGAAUUUCAACAAAAAAAAAUUUUUUUUAACAAAAGAACAGGGGAGAAACAAAUGGCACAUUAAAUUCAGGUGGGAAAGAGGAUCACUACAUGACAGGCUGGAAAUACUGCGUUGUGGAAAAAGGAUUUGCUGCUCCUGAAUCAAACAUGGAAGAUUUGUCUCAGAGCUUUUCUUGUAUGUGAGGCUGCUUAAUUCAGGGCUCUGUCUGUUAAUGUCUGUCACAGAUGAAAGGGGCAGCAGAGGUGUGUACUGGCUAGCCAAUGUCACCAACCUGGGCAGUAGGGAAGUGUGCUGGCCAGCCAAUGUCGCCAACAUGACCCUCCUAAGGGAAGUUCUUCUAAAGGUCAUCUCAAUUAUUCUCUUAUACAUUUUCAGAACUGUGUCUUAUAUUGAAUGUUUGCCUUGGAAUGAAUACA